AAGAUCAUACUUCACAGGAUCAUUUCUGUAGUAUAUCUUCACAUUCUCUCUACUCAAAAGUGGAGUUGAUGCAGCCACGAUGACGAGGAAUAGUCCUCUUUCCUGAGCGUGAGGACGACUCGGGAACUUGACUUGUUUCAAGUUUCCAGUCAUCGAUGAUCGUUCACCUUCUGUACUCCGUACGGGAGGCCUGGGAAGAUGGGCUUUCUGAGUGGU
Small nucleolar RNA from Cephus cinctus (wheat stem sawfly), 216 nucleotides. RefSeq annotates it as small nucleolar RNA U3. The record is from RefSeq and is a predicted model, not a curated record. The transcript has a single exon. Lineage: Eukaryota; Metazoa; Arthropoda; Insecta; Hymenoptera; Cephidae.